RNAcentral lists this ribosomal RNA (460 nucleotides) under uncultured bacterium. Its description in RNAcentral is "partial 16S ribosomal RNA". It matches the Rfam family "Bacterial small subunit ribosomal RNA", at positions 338 to 795 of the family's 1533-position model. The record is from RNAcentral.
CCUACGGGUGGCAGCAGUGAGGAAUAUUGGUCAAUGGACGGAAGUCUGAACCAGCCAUGCCGCGUGCAGGAUGACGGCUCUAUGAGUUGUAAACUGCUUUUGUAUUAGGGUAAACACCCCUACGUGUAGGGGCUUGAAAGUAUAAUACGAAUAAGGAUCGGCUAACUCCGUGCCAGCAGCCGCGGUAAUACGGAGGAUCCAAGCGUUAUCCGGAUUUAUUGGGUUUAAAGGGAGCGUAGGCCGCAUGUCAAGCGUGCUGUGAAAUGUCCGGGCUCAACCCGGGCCUUGCAGCGCGAACUGGCGUGCUUGAGUCCGCGGAAAGCAGGCGGAAUUCGUCGUGUAGCGGUGAAAUGCUUAGAUAUGACGAAGAACCCCGAUUGCGAAGGCAGCUUGCUGCAGCGGAACUGACGCUGAUGCUCGAAAGCGCGGGUAUCGAACAGGAUUAGAUACCCCGGUAGUC